Malaclemys terrapin pileata is the source of this 841-nucleotide long non-coding RNA. RefSeq lists it as uncharacterized. Lineage: Eukaryota; Metazoa; Chordata; Testudines; Emydidae. The transcript has 5 exons. The record is from RefSeq and is a predicted model, not a curated record.
UGCUCUCGUCAACCCAAGAAUCAAUUUCUACAGGAGCAGAAUGAUAAUUGUUUGCUAAGGCUUGGGGAACUUGUUGCCAAGUCUGAAAUGGGGGCUGGAGCUAUGAUUGGCACUCAUUAACCUGGGAUUUGGGUUUGAUCAUUUACCUUAUUCAAAGGAAGGGUGGGGGGAAGCUCUUUUGUUUGGAGGAAACAAAUGAGAUCAACUACAGAAUGGGAAUCUGGAUGUCAAGCCUGAAACCAAAUAGCUAGCUUUAUUCACUCAAAUGGGACCAAAUAGCAUGCAAUGUGAGGUUUUUUUUCCAGUCUACAAAAUUGACCACACCGCACCACACCUUAAGCAGGAGGAACGUUGUCCGGGCUUGCCAGAGGAAGAGUAGCAGUGAGGAAGGCUUGAAAAGUGGCAAGCCCAGAUGAGAGAAGCCCUUUCUCUACACAGCAGGUCCGCUUCCUUCCCUUCCUGAUCAUGGAGACCCAGACCUGUGAAACCUCCUUCAUGGUCCAUCAUCUUCAAACUCUGGAUUUGGAACAUGAGCACUUCAAAGGAGCAUUACCACAUUCUGCCUCAGCACAAAAACUGCAAUCAUGAAAGAAAUCAGUGCAGCUAUUGUGAAAAAAAGACUCCCCUUAGAAAGAAAAUGAGGCAGAGAUCUGCUGCCACCUUCUGGCAGUUACUGGGAUGAAAUGAAAAUGUCAGCAAAAAAGCUCAAAGGUGGCUGGCUAUAUUUCAGGCAAGGGUGACAAUAUCCCUCUGUCUGGUGCAUGUGCCUGUGCGUAUAUAUAUAUAUAUAUAUAUAUAGUUUGUAAUCAGUUCAUGAAAAAAGUUUGUGAAAACUUUUGGA